GCUGUGUAGCUCACCGGUAGAGCGGCCUGAAAAACAGGUGCGAUGUGGGUUCAAUUCCCACCCAGCA
This 67-nucleotide transfer RNA is filed under the name Paracoccus denitrificans. Its description in RNAcentral is "tRNA-OTHER". It matches the Rfam family "tRNA". Rfam says of the family: Transfer RNA (tRNA) molecules are approximately 80 nucleotides in length. Their secondary structure includes four short double-helical elements and three loops (D, anti-codon, and T loops). Further hydrogen bonds mediate the characteristic L-shaped molecular structure. tRNAs have two regions of fundamental functional importance: the anti-codon, which is responsible for specific mRNA codon recognition, and the 3' end, to which the tRNAs corresponding amino acid is attached (by aminoacyl-tRNA synthetases). tRNAs cope with the degeneracy of the genetic code in two manners: having more than one tRNA (with a specific anti-codon) for a particular amino acid; and 'wobble' base-pairing, i.e. permitting non-standard base-pairing at the 3rd anti-codon position. Lineage: Bacteria; Pseudomonadati; Pseudomonadota; Alphaproteobacteria; Rhodobacterales; Paracoccaceae. The record is from RNAcentral.